RNAcentral lists this transfer RNA (68 nucleotides) under Ischnomera caerulea. Its description in RNAcentral is "tRNA-Ser". Lineage: Eukaryota; Metazoa; Arthropoda; Insecta; Coleoptera; Oedemeridae. The record is from RNAcentral.
AAUUAAUGAACUUGAUAAAGUAUGUAUUUUGAAAAUACAAAAAAGAGAUUUCAAUUCUCUAUUAAUUU